Long non-coding RNA from Xiphophorus hellerii (green swordtail), 1834 nucleotides. RefSeq lists it as uncharacterized. Lineage: Eukaryota; Metazoa; Chordata; Actinopteri; Cyprinodontiformes; Poeciliidae. The record is from RefSeq and is a predicted model, not a curated record. The transcript has 2 exons.
GUCUGUCUGUCUGUCUGUCUGUCUGUCUGUCUGUCUGUCUGUUUCUGUCUGUCUGUUUCUGUCUGUCUGUCUGUCUGUCUGUCUGUCUGUCUGUCUGUUUCUGUCUGUCUGUCUGUCUGUCUCUGUCUGUCUGUCUGUCUGUCUGUCUUUGCUCUGUUCGUUUGAGCCUCAGAUUGUGAAGGUGCAUCUGCUGCCUGCUCAGUUAUGGAUUACAUGAAGAAGGAAAACAUAAUUUUUUAUUCUUUUGAUUUCCUUUAAGGCUUCCUGCCUGCAGCUUCUGCAACAAGGAGUCUCUAGAAAAUGUUAACAAUCAUUUAAAGCAAAACAACACAAACGGACAUGAAAGCCGAUGGAAACACAACAGGAAUGAUUUAGCCGCAGAUCUCCAUCUGGACGCCACGUCCUCUGGAAACGCUGCAGGAUGUUGACAUCUGUUUGGAAGCUGGAAAAUCAAAAUUAACAGAAAUAAUUUGGGAUAUUUAGAUUCACAGGAGAAAAAAAGGCUUCAUUUUUCAAAGUUAUAUUUUCAUGUUAUUCAUUUAUUUAUAAAUGUCACAGUUUCAAACUAAAUAUUUAGCAUAUCAGCUAAAUAUUUAACUCAGUAUUUAGCUCAGAGCUAAAUAUUUAGCUAAUAUGCAAAUUCACUUUCUGAUAACCGGAAGUGGACUACCAAAAUAAAAGCUGUCUAGCAAACCUGUAAAUAAACUCCUGCUUGUGAACUGCAGUUUAAAUGGGAGUUUAUUUCAAUAUGUUUGAUUUUUAAUACAAAUGUUUUAUUUUGAUAGCAACAUGAUUUUGCAUCUUAGCUAAAUAUUGAUCUGAAAACUAAACAUUUUGUUUGAAUAUAAAAUAGUUAUACAUUCUUGAUGACUGUUGCAGCCAUGUUUAGACUGGUUGCUGCCAUGGCAACCGGUCUAAACAUUUUGAGUAAUUGAAUAAGAACUGGUGCAAAAUACUUGGAUUAAUGUUGUUUUGACGCUGAAUUGGAGAAGCUGAAGAGGUUAUAGAUGUGAUUUUGAUAAUGAACUUGAAAUGAUGUAAAAUGUGUAACUGCAAUCAAAGAUCACUGAUGUCGUGUUGGAGGGAUGUUCUAGAUGGAAGUUUAGGAAAAAGGAGAACUGAAAAGCACAGCCCAGCACAAAAAAGAGGAACUACACCGAAACCAGACUGCUGAAGAGAAGGAAAGUUUGCAGGCUGCAGGAUGGAGUGUGACCCUCGAACAGGCCGGGGACAAGGACACAGCCAUGACAUAAUGUCUCCAAGUCGAAGGUGGAACUGAGAUCAUCUAUUCAUCUAGACAGCCAAUGGAAAAAGGAAGAUGGUGACAUGAGAUGGACCUUUAAGCAUCGGUCGGCUGCAAAAGAAGAGAAGUGGGUUUUUCCUUCCGUAAGGUCUGCACUGUCACCGAGACGGAUCAACGAUGCCUUGGAUCUACGCAGAGGGGCCCUCUGAGUUGUGGGGCCCUCUGAGUUGUGGGGCCCUCUGAGUUUUGGGGCUGCAGCAGAGCACCUGUACGCACAUGAGGAAAUUCCCCACAAGCCAACUCCCGCAGCUCUGGAUUAAGACCCCCUCUGGCAUCUUAAGGCUUCCCGAGAACCGGGUCCCCCUCCCUCUACCAGGACUGAUCCCAACGGACCAAGCUGGAGCUUGUGGUUCAGUUCUCCGUCUCACAAAUUGUUCUCAGUGCAAGCAGUGAUAGAGAUCAGGGUGAGAGAUGUUGAAUUGAAGUUGAUUUCAUUACAUAGUUGUCUCUUUAAUUUGAUGUUUGCAUCUAUUUUCUGCUAUGUGCCGUAUAAUUCCCUAUUCCUACCCAUAUUAAACAAGCAUACAAAGA